Long non-coding RNA from Cyprinus carpio carpio, 2451 nucleotides. NCBI's taxonomy places the organism in Eukaryota, Metazoa, Chordata, Actinopteri, Cypriniformes, Cyprinidae. The record is from Ensembl.
AACUACACCCAUUCAAGCUAUUACACAUUCUGCUGAUCAAUUCAUGUUAUUGUGGAACAUGUUUCUGCAGCCAUAGUCUGUUCUGUUGUUUGAGGUCUUCUCGUCAGUUGUGUUUUGCCCAGCUUUUGUUGCGCUAUUUAUAACCAGGUCUAACUUGGUGAAUAUGCAAGCUCCACAGAGUUCCUCAAGGGCAGCUGGGACCAGGGGAAAUGGGUACGGCAACAUGACAGUUUGAGAGUUGAUUGUUCGGUAGUCAAUGCAGGGCCGCAGGCCUCCGUCCUUUUUGAGCCACAAGGAAGAAGCAGGAGGUGGCAGGUGAUUUGGAAGGGCAUAUGAACUGUUGUUGGAGAGCCUCCUUGAUGUAGUCCUCCAUGGCCUUGCGCUCCGGGAUGGACAGCAGGUACACACUACCCUUGGGGAGUGUAGCUGCAGGCAGCAGGUCAAUGGCACAAUCCCACAUUCCAUGAGGGUGAGGUUUACUUGGUGACUGGGAACUUUGACAAGGUGUACAGGAAUGUUGGAAAGACAGUACAGGGAGCAUGUAUCACUCCAUCUGAGAAUCUCACUGGAAUCCCAUCUGACUUCGGGAGAGUGUUGGGAGAGCCAGGGGUGUCCCAGGAUGAUGUCCAUGGUGGGUCCCUACAGUACCACGAAUGAGAUCACCUUGUGAUGGAAACGUCCCAUUUGAAGGAUCACCGGGGAAAAUUUGACCCGCCCAUGCCCUAGCAGUUUUCCUUGGAUGGCCUCGAUCCUCAGUUCCUGGGCUUGUCUCCUCCGGAGCAGGUUAAGACAUCUUAGGAGGGCUUGGGAGAUGAAGGGCGGGUACUGAAACGGAAAUGAUGUGGGGUGAGUAGUUGAACUGUCAGCAAUGGUAAGAUAGAAACAUCUGGCUAAAUUUGGAGAGUACUCACCACUGGGCGUGGGGGGUGAGAGGAGCAGGUCUUAAUGAAAUGCCCCGAUGAACCACAAUAUAGGCAGAGACCAGAUGACAGAUGUCAUGCACGCUCCACGCAUGUGAGACGAUGAGUAUCCACUUGCAUGGGCUCUGGCACUGGAGGACAGGCAGUGGGUGAGGCUGAGAGAUCCUUACGGCUUGUUGCAUAAAGUUUUCUAAACCGACCGUGACGUUGUAGAUGGCUAUUUGUGCUCGAAUGAGCAGAUCCAAACCUGUCGGUAGGUGGUCAGAAGCGCUCCCUCAUUCUAUCCACUGAAUGCCACUAGGGUGCGGAACUGAAGAGUAUAAUCACUUGCCAAAGAAGUCCCUUGAUGCGGGCCCAUGAGCUGAUCGGGAAUGGACAGCGAGCCGUUGGAAAGUCCAAAAACCUCAUUGAAGGGAGCCUUGAAAGCGUCAAAUGAGUUGAUUAUUGUGCUCUGAGAGUUCCAUGUGGUGCAUGCCCAGAGUAGUGAGUGUCCUGACAGGAGGGAGAUUAGGAAGGCUACCUUUGACCUCUCUGUGGCAAAAUUAUGAGGCUGCAUUUCAAUGAACAGAGAGACUUGAAGUAAAAAAAAAAAAAAAAAAGCUACAUUCAAUCGCCUCAACUGAAUAAGGAGAAGGAGUGGCCAUGGGACUGGCAGAGGCAGAUUGAGGGGUGAUGACAGGAGUGAGAGAGGACCGGAGAGCAUUGACCAGCUUCUCAACCAUGUCCGCCGGAGAAGGGCGUCGUGGUGCCAUCUUUGGUCCUUAUGUGUUCAGUCUGGUCUCCUGUCAGCAAACACACAAGUCACAGGGAAUUCCAUGGGGAAUGAAGGAGCAUAGGAGCUGAGGAGCACAUGGAGCAGAUGGUCGGGGGAACUUGUAAGUAAGUAAGUAUAAACAGGUAAGAGUCAGGUAAGUUAGCAUAGCAACUUUGAGACCAGACAGUGUGACUGCGGGGAGAGUACAAGGAUAUAGGGAGAUUGAUGAGCGGUGACUGGUAGUGACAAUCAAUAAUCAGGUGAUUUGGAUCUGGUGAGCGUUGUUGGUGGUGACUGAGGUGACUGUGACUCCCUGACAGUUAUGCAAAACAAUUUUUAUUUAUUUAUUUAUUUUUUAGUGGAGACAGUGUGUUUUGUUUUGUUUUUUGUUUUGUUGUAAAUUAAUCACAUAAUGCUAAUUGUGCAUAAUGUAAACAACUGGGAGAUGGUUGUGUUUAAUAGAAAUUCAGUUUAUAGUAGUUUUUUUUAAUAUUAAUUAUUUUUCAAAUUCUAAUAUAAUUUUUGUGCCAUGACUGAGGUGGCAGAAGCACUCUCUGUCUCAUUCUAACAUUAAAUGCUGAGAAGGACUCUAGCCUUGAAGCCUCAGAAGGACUGGACUCGGAAGGGCACAUACUCACUUAGGAUUCAUCUUUUGUUGGAGAAGCACCCACAUUCUAUAAUAGUUUAGCGGUAGUAGGGUAGCAUAAUCUUUGAAUAAUUUUACAUUUUGUGCUAUAAGAACUAAAUGUUUCAAUUUAUUUCUCUUAUUUAAUUAAC